UGACGAGGUUAAUAGGUUCGAGGUGGAAGCGUGGUGACACGUGGAGCUGACGAAUACUAAUCGAUCGAAGACUUAAUCAAUUU
Molecule: ribosomal RNA, 83 nt
Filed under: Staphylococcus epidermidis
Lineage: Bacteria; Bacillati; Bacillota; Bacilli; Caryophanales; Staphylococcaceae
Description: partial 23S ribosomal RNA
Source: RNAcentral